This 1490-nucleotide long non-coding RNA is filed under the name Salmo salar (Atlantic salmon). RNAcentral describes it as "lncRNA (ENSSSAG00000094209.1)". Lineage: Eukaryota; Metazoa; Chordata; Actinopteri; Salmoniformes; Salmonidae. The record is from RNAcentral.
GGAGUCUGAUGUGAAGGAGGAGGUUGAUCAUCAGGAGUCAGAUGUGAAGGAGGAGGUUGAUCAUCAGGAGUCAGAUGUGAAGGAGGAGGUUGAUCAUCAGGAGUCAGAUGUGAAGGAGGAGGUUGAUCAUCAGGAGUCAGAUGUGAAGGAGGAGGUUGAUCAUCAGGAGUCAGAUGUGAAGGAGGAGGUUGAUCAUCAGUGAACCUCUAGGAUUGUGGCUGGGCUGGUGUUUACACUUCCAGCUUGGUCAUAUAUUUUGAUACAUUGAAUGUUGAUAUUGUGAACCUAUGUUAUAUAUUUGUACCUCCUGUUUAAUGAAGUGAUGUCACUAAGUACUUCCCCAAUAUAUACAGUGCAGUCGGAAAGUAUUCAGACCCCUUCACCUUUUCUACAUUUUGUUACGUUACAGCCUUAUUCUAAAAUGUAUUAAAUCAUUUUUUUCCCUCAUCAAUCUACACACAAUACCCCAUAAGACAUCACAUUGCCCCAUAAUGACAUCACGUUGACCCAUAAUAACAUCACAAUACCCUAUAAUGACAUCACAAUACCCCAUAAUGACAAAGCAAAAACAGGUAAAUAAAUGAAACAUUUUGAUUUUCUUUCAAAAACAAGGACAUUUCUAAGUUCACCCAUACUACGACAGGUCAGCUAGACCACUGCCACCACUGAUCGACGGAGAGUCAGUUAGAAUCCAGGAGCAUGGCCUCUGGAAACCAGCAGUCGUCAUCCAGCCAGCUGACACUGAACGUUCAUAUCACGUCCGCACAGCAGAAGGAGCAGUGUACCGCCGCAAUCGUCGUCACUUACUGAACACAAAAGAACAACACACUGAUGAGAUGAACUGUUCCCCUGAAAGAGAACGUGAUGGACUAAACACACACACAGCACAACAUACACCACACUUACCUGCAACACCACAAGAGCUGUUGACUGACACAGAAGCAUGCUCAACAUCAUAUCGCACAAGGUCAGGAAGAGAGGUCAAGCCCAGAGCUGUCCUCGACCUGUGAAAUGUCAAAGGGUGUAGGCGGAUCGCUGCCCUAAAAGAGUUCCAGACUGUAAACUUGUUAUUGAAAGUUCACUUGACAUGCUUUGGUAUUGUAUUUGUUUGAAAUGUUAAGAUGUAAUUUCUACAGUGAAGCUGAGUUGCUGAGAAUCCCUUGUUUGAAAAGUAACAGUAUGUUGGAUCAUUGUUUCAGAGUCUAUGUUGAUUAGGUUGGUGUAUUAUGCAAUAUAAAUGGUUACUUACCUUGAGUUCAAACUACAGAGCAUGUAUCCAAAAGAAAAGCUUAGAAUAUGUAAAACAUUUGUAUUUUGUUUUAAAAGAAGGGGGAUGUAAUAUUCAUAUGUGAAUACAUACUGAAUUAUAAUUGGAUGCAUUUUACCGCCGUAUCAUACUGUGCGGUGAUUGGUUAAGUCGUUCAAAGAGAAGCAUGUGUUGAUUGAUUCGUGUUUAAUGAGUGAGAAUUUAAAACCAACUUUACACCCAC